Molecule: long non-coding RNA, 137 nt
Filed under: Polistes fuscatus (common paper wasp)
Lineage: Eukaryota; Metazoa; Arthropoda; Insecta; Hymenoptera; Vespidae
Description: uncharacterized LOC122516277
Source: RNAcentral
AAUUCUCCUUACCCUCUCUAAAUGACGUCCUUCGGUUGAUGGAUCUUCGAGACGGCCCGGCAACAUCUAAUCGUCGAGCUCAAGGAGCAAAGCUCGGGGAAGCUUCACAAGGAUAAAGAGAGGAAGAGAAGGGAAAA